RNAcentral lists this ribosomal RNA (371 nucleotides) under uncultured prokaryote. Its description in RNAcentral is "bacterial SSU rRNA". It matches the Rfam family "Bacterial small subunit ribosomal RNA", at positions 524 to 896 of the family's 1533-position model. The record is from RNAcentral.
UACGAAGGGUGCUAGCGUUGUUCGGAAUCACUGGGCGUAAAGCGCGCGCAGGCGGCUUUUCAAGUCAGAGGUGAAAGCCUGGAGCUCAACUCCAGAAUUGCCUUUGAAACUGCAAAGCUAGAGUGUCGGAGGGGAUAGCGGAAUUGCUAAUGUAGAGGUGAAAUUCGUAGAUAUUAGCAGGAACACCGGUGGCGAAGGCGGCUAUCUGGACGACAACUGACGCUGAGGCGCGAAAGCGUGGGGAUCAAACAGGAUUAGAUACCCUGGUAGUCCACGCCGUAAACGAUGGGUGCUAGCCGUUGGGGGGUUACCUCUCAGUGGCGCAGCUAACGCGUUAAGCACCCCGCCUGGGGAGUACGGUCGCAAGAUUA